This 506-nucleotide ribosomal RNA is filed under the name Ommastrephes brevimanus. RNAcentral describes it as "partial 16S rRNA". It matches the Rfam family "Bacterial large subunit ribosomal RNA", at positions 1808 to 2584 of the family's 2925-position model. The record is from RNAcentral. Lineage: Eukaryota; Metazoa; Mollusca; Cephalopoda; Oegopsida; Ommastrephidae.
CAAAAACAUGUCUCUUUGUAAAAUAUAAAUAGAGAGUCGGGCCUGCUCGGUGAAUAAGUUUUUAACAGCUGCGGUAUUUUAACUGUACUAAGGUAGCAUAAUAAUUUGCCUUAUAAUUUGAGGCUAGAAUGAAUGGUUUGACGAAGGUUAAUCUGUCUCCAUCUUAUUUUUUAGAAGUUAAUUUUUAAAGUGAAAAAGCUUAAAUCUUUCAAAGGGACGAGAAGACCCUAAUGAGCUUAUAAUUUUAUUAUCAUUAUUUAAAACAUUUAGGUGGUGGUAUAUAAAUUUUAAUUGGGGUGAUUAAGGAAUAAAUUGUGUAUAGUAACUUCCUUAAAUUAGGUAUUUGUAGAUAAAGUAACCAAUGUAAUAUUGCUUAUAGUAUAGUUACCAUAGGGAUAACAGCGUAAUUUGUUUAGAGAGUUCUUAUUGAAAAACGAGAUUGCGACCUCGAUGUUGGAUUAAAGUAACCCUAAGGUGCAGAAGCUUUAGUAGGUAAAUCUGUUCGA